RNAcentral lists this long non-coding RNA (626 nucleotides) under Capsicum annuum. RNAcentral's name for it is "long non-coding RNA (CANN_LNC000538)". Lineage: Eukaryota; Viridiplantae; Streptophyta; Magnoliopsida; Solanales; Solanaceae. The record is from RNAcentral.
AUUCUAAACUUUUCUGCUUCAUCUUUAUUUCUUAAAGUUGAUAAAUAUUUCAUUUUGAUUAUUCCUUUGAACUUGUCUUUGAAGUUGCUGGAACUUUAUUAUAGUUUUUGAAAUAGUGCUUACAAAAUUUAAAAGUUAAAAAAAUAAAAUAAAUCACUUCAACAAGGUUCGAACCAAAGGCACCCUUCUAAUGAAGAACCUUAAGAUCAACCUAAGUACCAAUGCACUCAAUCAACUUUUUGUUAUAGUGGUUGUUCGCAACAAAUUUUUGUUGGUGCUAAAAAUUAACUGCAAGCAAAAAUAAAAUAAAUAAAAAGAAUUAUUUUAUUUAAAUGAAUCUUGUGAGUACAAUUUUGUUGUUCUCUUGAUUCUUCUCUCCUAAACUUAAAAAUUAUUUGAGGGCCUUCAGUAGCGUGUUUCUCGAAUCGUUGGAUGAUUGGACUCCUAGAGACGUAUUUCAAUCCUCGGAAAUGUCGGAAAGUGUUUUGUCGCUUUGGAAUAAUCUUCGAGAAGAACUCCGUUGAUUGCACCUGGCCAGAACUUGAUAGUCAAAGAAGACGUUGUCAAUGCUUGUCAAAGUCCUCUUUUCCCCCAUCUCCCUCCUUUUAAAAUGUUAUGUUACCCCC